CAGGUUCCAGGUGUAGAUUUGCCGAAUCUAAUUUAUCAAGUAAGGGAAAUGCUAAGAUCAAUGAAUGAUGGGGAGAUUAGCAUCUCAACAUACAACACUGCUUGGGUUGCCCUAGUGUCGAGGCUAGAUGGUGGCGAUGGACCACAAUUCAUGACGUCCGUCAAGUGGAUCAUCAACAACCAGUUACCUGACAACUCUUGGGGUGAUGCAUCUUUGUUCUCUGCCUAUGACCGGAUGAUGAACACUCUUGCUUGUGUUGUAGCACUGACAAAGUGGUCUCUUGAACCUAUAAAAUGCAAGAGAGGACUCGCAUUUAUUGAGGAGAACAUGUGGAGGUUAACGAAGGAAGAUCUAGAGCCAAUGCCCGUUGGUUUUGAGAUUGCAUUCCCUUCUCUCAUAGAAGCAGCUAGGAGCCAAGGGAUUGAAUUUCCAUAUGACCACCCUGCUUUGAAGAGCAUAUAUGCUAACAGAGAAGUGAAGCUUAGGAUGAUUCCAAAGGAUAUAAUGCAUAACAUUCCGACAUCACUUCUAUAUAGUAUCGAAGGAAUGCCUGGAUUGGACUGGCAAAAGCUUUUGAAGCUACAGUCCUGUGAUGGCUCCUUCUUGUGUUCUCCUUCAGCUAAUGCUUACGCUCUUAUGCAAACUGGCGACAACAAAUGCUUUGAGUAUAUCAACAUGAUAGUCAAGAAAUUUAACGAGGCGGUUCCCAAUGUUUACCCUGUUGAUCUUCUUGAGCACCUCUGGGCUGUUGAUCGGCUGGAGCGUCUUGGGAUCUCACGAUACUUUGAGCGAGAGAUUGAAUAUUGCAUGGACUAUGUCAAAAGGUAUUGGACAGAAGAAGGGAUUUGCUGGGCUAGAAAUUCUAAUGUAAUGGAUUUGGAUGACACGUCUAUGGCUUUUCGACUACUGCGACUACAUGGAUAUAAUGUCUCCCCAUGUGUGUUUAAGCAUUUUGAGAAGGGUGGGGAGUUUUUUUGUUUACUUGGACAAUCGACUCAGGCAGUCACUGGGUUGUAUAACCUGAAUAGGGCCGCUCAAAUAAGUUUUCCUGGAGAGGAUAUCUUGCAGCAUGCUAGGGCUUUUUCAUAUGAGUAUCUUAGAGAAAGAGAAGUCCAGGGCACAAUUUGUGAUAAGUGGAUCAUUUCUAAGGAUUUGCCUGGUGAGGUACAAUACAUGCUGGACUUCCCUUGGUAUGCAAACUUGCCUCGUGAAGCAAGAACCUAUCUAGAUCAAUAUGGUGGUAGUGAUGAUGUAUGGAUUGGAAAGACAUUAUACAGGAUGCCACUUGUGAAUAAUAAUACCUAUAUGGAGUUGGCAAGACAUGAUUUCAACCGUUGCCAAGUUCUACAUCAGCUUGAGUGGCAUGGUUUGCAAAAAUGGUUUACUAGGAGUGGCCUCAAGGUUUUUUAGGUGGCACCAAAAGAUGUUUUAAGAACUUAUUUUUUAGCCGCUGCCAGCAUUUUUUAACCAAGCCGUGCCAAUGAGCGAUUUGCAUGGACAACAGUUUCAGUGCUUGCCAACACUAUUUCUACGCACCUUCGUAGCAAUUUGAUGAGAAAGGAAAGGAUGGUACAAUUUCUACAGCGUCGCCCCUAUGAAGAAAAUGACGACCCAUCGUGGUGAGCAUAUCAAAUCAAUAUUUAUGCAAAUUCAGUAAAAUGUAGUGAUCUAACAAAGCAUGCAUUCAGGCUUAAAGGAAAUAUGAAAGACGAAUUUCUUGCGAGUGCACUUCAACAACUUAUUGAUGCAUUAGCGCAAGAGGCACUACCUUCUUGCGAAGGACCAAACUAAAUCCACAAUCUCUUACAAUGUGCUUGGAACGAAUGGAUGAUGGAACAGAUAAACACUUAUGAUGACAAGUAUACAAAAUCUAGUAUUAUGCAACAAGGGCCAUGCCUGGUUAACAGAAAACAAACAUGCUUGCUUCUUGUUAAAGUUAUUGAGAUUUGUGCUGGACUAACUGUUGAAGUGCCAUCCAUGAUGAAUAGCAUGCAUGGUGCUCGAUUCAUUCAACUUGCAUCCUCUAUUUGUGACGAUCUUCACCAUAAGCAGUUACUUUCUCAGGACAACGAAAAAAACAAGGUAAUAAUAUACCGCAUUGAUUAAAAAGUUGAGUCUGACAUGCAAGAACUUGCUCAAUAUCAUCUCCAGAGGUGUGAUGAUACAACUAAUAACAGCAAGACAAAGCAAACCUUCAUGGAUGUUGUUAAAACAUGCUACUACGCUGCUAAUUGCCCGCAACAUAUGGUUGAUAAGCAUGUCUCAAGAGUUAUUUUUGAGCGUGUUAUUUGA
Molecule: ribosomal RNA, 2292 nt
Filed under: Triticum aestivum (bread wheat)
Lineage: Eukaryota; Viridiplantae; Streptophyta; Magnoliopsida; Poales; Poaceae
Description: partial small subunit ribosomal RNA
Source: RNAcentral